GAUGAACGCUAGCUACAGGCUUAACACAUGCAAGUCGAGGGGCAGCAUGGUCUUAGCUUGCUAAGGCCGAUGGCGACCGGCGCACGGGUGAGUAACACGUAUCCAACCUGCCGUCUACUCUUGGACAGCCUUCUGAAAGGAAGAUUAAUACAAGAUGGCAUCAUGAGUCCGCAUGUUCACAUGAUUAAAGGUAUUCCGGUAGACGAUGGGGAUGCGUUCCAUUAGAUAGUAGGCGGGGUAACGGCCCACCAAACCGACGAUGGAUAGGGGUUCUGAGAGGAAGGUCCCCCACAUUGGUACUGAGACACGGACCAAACUACCUACGGGAGGCAGCAGUGAGGAAUAAUUGGUCAAUGGCCGAGAGGCUGAACCAGCCAAGUCGCGUGAAGGAAGAAGGAUCUAUGG
RNAcentral lists this ribosomal RNA (405 nucleotides) under uncultured bacterium. RNAcentral describes it as "bacterial SSU rRNA". It matches the Rfam family "Bacterial small subunit ribosomal RNA", at positions 28 to 421 of the family's 1533-position model. The record is from RNAcentral.